Long non-coding RNA from Crotalus tigris (Tiger rattlesnake), 1507 nucleotides. RefSeq lists it as uncharacterized. The transcript has 3 exons. NCBI's taxonomy places the organism in Eukaryota, Metazoa, Chordata, Lepidosauria, Squamata, Viperidae. The record is from RefSeq and is a predicted model, not a curated record.
GAUGAGUAAAGAUUCCUUAAUAUUUGAAUAUAUUUUCCCUUCCAAGACACUACCUUCUUCUACAGAACUGCAGGAUUCCUUUAUCAAUUUAUAUUUUUAUUCAUUUACAACAUAAAAAUAUCAAAAUAAAAAGCAAAUAGUAAGGAACAACUAUAGGGAAAGAGGAAAAGGGGAAAUGUGGAAAGGGGGGGAGAAACAAAAGGUGUUGACUUCCGAUUCCCUGUUGCAGUAAAAUAAGGCAUGAAAAUCGAAUCUCAACUUUUUGCAUUUCUGUAUUAGUAUGAACUAGCCUUUUCUCUAUCAACAAAUCAGUCUAAUCAGUAAACCCCAAAAUCAUAGUAUCAUUUUUUCCACCUCAAGCACAAAGGCCAGAAGCAGUUUCCAAGCAGAAACAAUAGUACUUAUAUUCCUUUCUUUUAUCAAAACUGUCAGUUUAGCCAAAUUCACUCAGUCAGCUUUCAGGCCCAAGGUGGGACUAGAACUCAGUACCCAGAGUUGUUGUGUUUUGCUCUAAUCACUAGACCAAACUGUUUCUCCAUUUUGCCUCCUUAUUCAAACAAACAUAUUUGGCUGAGAAUUGGGUAAACCAAUACUAAAGUGAAGCGUACUCAAAAAAAAUAAGCUACAGUAACAAAACCCCCAAUAAAGUUAUUUAAAGAAUUGUGGAUCAAAAGAAAAAUCAAUGGCAUAUUUAUCUUUAUCAAGAUCUAAGCUGUGCUUAUGUUAAGUCAUCAGACAAAGUCAUUCUUAUUCUAAGUUGUAUUUAAAUGGUAUUCAAGAUGGUAUUUAACUUGAGAAAAAAUAAUCUUAAGAAUUUUUUUUCUGCUUCUUUCCAAGAUCUUAGUGAAAAGCUUAAAUCUGAUUUUAUACUAUUUCUGCCCAAGCAACUACAUUAGCUGGAAGACAUCAGUGGCAAAGUAAUCACUACAAUAAAUAAAUAAACUGAAAGGGAAGAAUGAGACUGUGUGAAAUUAUAGAAUUAUAGCACAAAUUAUAGCAAAUUAUAGCACAAAUUAUAGCAAAUUAUAGCACAAAGUCCAGAAGCAGUAUCCAAGUACAAACAAAAGUACUUAUAUUCUUUUCUUUUAUCAAAACUGUCAGUUUAGCCAUCUCUGCUAACUCCAUCAGCUUUUGUAACCGUUCAUCCAAGAUGGGAAUGGAAACAUCCUUCCAACAAUUGCAGGAUUCCUAGGACCACAGCAACUUUUCUCUGACCACACAGAUCCAUCUCUGCUGAUCUCCUGCAGCAGCUCAAAUAAAUCAGCCAUUAACCCAGGUUUGAGGUCUGACUCAAAGAUGAAAUAGCUGAGUCUCAACAUCUUUUUUACAUCGUGGUGACCAAAACUGGAGGCAGAAGUCCAAGUGUGGCCUUACCACUCCUUAUUAGGAGUCCUGUGGGACACAGAAGACUAACUGAAAUUGAGAAGGAGAACUGGGUUCCAAAAGCUUCUCUGCCUCAGUCUAAAUGUGUGGAAAAAUGCCAUCCUGGAUUUGUCAAGCAGGCUCG